Molecule: ribosomal RNA, 395 nt
Filed under: uncultured bacterium
Lineage: Bacteria
Description: bacterial SSU rRNA
Rfam family: Bacterial small subunit ribosomal RNA
Source: RNAcentral
GACGAACGCUGGCGGCGUGCUUAACACAUGCAAGUCGAGCGGUAAGGCCCUUUCGGGGGUACACGAGCGGCGAACGGGUGAGUAACACGUGGGUGACCUGCCCUCAGCUCUGGGAUAAGCCUGGGAAACCGGGUCUAAUACUGGAUAUGACUCCAUGACGCAUGUUGUGGGGUGGAAAGCCUUGUGCGGCUGAGGAUGGGCCCGCGGCCUAUCAGCUUGUUGGUGGGGUGAUGGCCUACCAAGGCGACGACGGGUAGCCGGCCUGAGAGGGCGACCGGCCACACUGGGACUGAGACACGGCCCAGACUCCUACGGGAGGCAGCAGUGGGGAAUCUUGCGCAAUGGGCGAAAGCCUGACGCAGCGACGCCGCGUGAGGGAUGACGGCCUCGUGUAA